Long non-coding RNA from Drosophila guanche, 1076 nucleotides. RefSeq lists it as uncharacterized. The record is from RefSeq and is a predicted model, not a curated record. Lineage: Eukaryota; Metazoa; Arthropoda; Insecta; Diptera; Drosophilidae. The transcript is spliced from 3 exons.
UGGGGGACAAUCACCAGGGUUAUUCACCACGAUCGAACCACCAGCGGAUGGAAAUUCGGGUGGACCGCCUCCAGGAAGUGAGCAACCUGGGGGACAACCACCAGGGUUAUUCACCACGAUCGAACCACCAGAGGAUGGAAAUUCUGGUGGACCGCCUCCAGGAAGUGAGCAACCUGGGGGACAACCACCAGGGUUAUUCACCACGAUCGAACCACCAGAGGAUGGAAAUUCUGGUGGACCGCCUCCAGGAAGUGAGCAACCUGGGGGACAACCAACAGGGCUAUUCACCACGAUCGAACCACCAGUGGCUGGCCAAACAGUGGAGUUGCUCCCAGUCUCAGCCGAUGCCACAGAAACAGGAAUCUUUGUUUCUGAUUCAAUGAAUUUACUCAGUACUUCUGAAGGAAAACAUUCAAGGCCGGAUUCUUUAGACAAAUCAUUAACUACGAUAGUAUCACCAGAGGAUGGACAACCUGGAUUACCUGGGGGAUCCCCAUCAAUCGCAGUUAAUCCUACGGAAAGAGGAAUCCAUCCGUCCGAUGUAUUUCAGUUACUCACUACGUCUGAAGAAAGACGUACGACAACGGAUUCUUUAGAGUCAUCAUUCACCACCAACGAACCAACAGAGGAUGGGAAAACUGGAGGACAUGCACCAGGGGGCGGCCCACCAGGAGGAUCACCACUGGAGAAAACAACCGCUGAAAUUUCGACAAUUUCGCAAAUGCAAAGCACAAUCAAACCACACAACAAUUAUGGAACAACAAAUAGAUAUAAACUUAGACCACCACUCAGGAUUUGUUAUGAUGUCAAAUAUAGACAUAAACGUACGUACAUAAACAGCAUUAGACUCGAUUUUUGCUUAAAUGAUUAUAUAAUUUCAGCGCAAUGUCAAAGAAAAAACAGAAGGUUCACGGUUUCCAAACGUUGCAGUAUCUUGUAAAGAAGAUCACAUAUGUCAUCAUCCCUCAGUCGAUACCAGAAGGCAGCAACUCGCUUGGGAACUGGAUGUAAAGGCGCCUCGUCCAUCUUGGAAUACAUUUGUUCAAAAAUGUCAAUUGCAGCAACAUGUUUUAUUA